CCUGCGGGGAAUGGCUGGUAGCCGUUUUAUUAUUAUUUAUGAAUUCAUCAGAAAGGAAUAAUGACCUCUAAUUAAAGCCAGAAAAUUACUCCUGGAAUAAAUUGCUAAAGUCAGGAGAAACUGGGACAGGAGCAGGUGAAGUGAUUUGCUCCUGGUGCUGAAACAAGCCACCAUGGGAAAGACUGACAGACUCUGUGAUUUUCUAGGCUCACUCAGCUCAGCGGGGUCACGCCACACCUGAAGUCUCUUCCCCUCAAUCCAGGAAAUUCCCGUGCCUGUAAUUACUGGCGAGGGGCACAGCGGCUGGCCUAUUGUACGAGCCAUGAUGAAUGUGGACCGUGAGCCGGGGGAAGGAGCAUCUCCUU
Long non-coding RNA from Phyllostomus hastatus (greater spear-nosed bat), 365 nucleotides. RefSeq lists it as uncharacterized. NCBI's taxonomy places the organism in Eukaryota, Metazoa, Chordata, Mammalia, Chiroptera, Phyllostomidae. The transcript is spliced from 3 exons. The record is from RefSeq and is a predicted model, not a curated record.